GAUGAAGAACGUAGUGAAAUGCGAUAAGUAAUGUGAAUUGCAGAAUUCAGUGAAUCAUCGAAUCUUUGAACGCACAUUGCGCCCGCCAGUAUUCUGGCGGGCAUGCCUGUUCGAGCGUCAUUUCAACCCUCAGGCCCCCAGUGCCUGGUGUUGGGGAUCGGCCCAGCCUUCCUGUAAGGCCGCCGGCCCCGAAAUCUAGUGGCGGUCUCGCUGUAGUCCUCCUCUGCGUAGUAGCACAACCUCGCAGUUGGAACGCGGCGGUGGCCAUGCCGUUAAACACCCCACUUCUGAAAGUUGACCUCGGAUCAGGUAGGAAUACCCGCUGAACUUAAGCAUAUCAAUAAGCGGAGA
Molecule: unclassified non-coding RNA, 351 nt
Filed under: soil metagenome
Description: partial contains 5.8S ribosomal RNA, internal transcribed spacer 2, and large subunit ribosomal RNA
Rfam family: 5.8S ribosomal RNA (bases 1-120)
Source: RNAcentral